GGGUGACUAGUCUAGUGGUCAGGACGCUUCGUUGUGGUUCAACAACUCGUUGAUACAUGACGACCGAAGAAACCCCGGUUCGAUUCCGGGGUCGCCCA
This is a non-coding RNA of Cladorrhinum sp. PSN332, 98 nucleotides long. NCBI's taxonomy places the organism in Eukaryota, Fungi, Ascomycota, Sordariomycetes, Sordariales, Podosporaceae. The record is from the annotation of a GenBank genome assembly.